AUGCAUCGCCUUCUCACAUUCCCAAAGCAACACAACUCUUCUCCUCUCAAAUAUAUAGCAUUCCAGUAUUAAUUCAAAUAAUCUGUAUUAUUAUUAUUAUGGCUGCACUGCUAGCUUAUUAUCUGGUUUUCUAUCUUUAUUUGCAUGCAUGCACUGCUAGACUUCUAAUGGUUUUGGAUAAAAAAUCUGUUGCUGAUCAACAUCAAUUUUGGAGCAAGGUUAGAUUUGUGAAUUUACUCUUACGUUCAAUUUUAAGCUUGUAUAUUUUAGAGAGAUUAAUGCAAAAUUUGAGUUUUGGAGUGACUAUGAUACCUCUGGUGCAGGAAUCAAACAUCGUUGAUCAGUUGGAUAAUAACAAGUUUUUAUCAGCUCAAAACAAUGAAGG
RNAcentral lists this long non-coding RNA (385 nucleotides) under Salvia miltiorrhiza (redroot sage). RNAcentral describes it as "long non-coding RNA (SMIL_LNC004540)". Lineage: Eukaryota; Viridiplantae; Streptophyta; Magnoliopsida; Lamiales; Lamiaceae. The record is from RNAcentral.